AUUACUUAUUGGCCUUUGGGCUAAUAAUAAAUGUAAUAUCUGUUAUUAUCAGUUUAAUAUCUGAUAUGUCCCCCAUCCAAGAACAAUGUAUUCCAUGUAGGAACAGAGACAAAAAAUAU
Molecule: small nuclear RNA, 119 nt
Organism: Oryctolagus cuniculus (rabbit)
Lineage: Eukaryota; Metazoa; Chordata; Mammalia; Lagomorpha; Leporidae
Gene: U2
Rfam family: U2 spliceosomal RNA
About the family: U2 is a small nuclear RNA (snRNA) component of the spliceosome (involved in pre-mRNA splicing). Complementary binding between U2 snRNA (in an area lying towards the 5' end but 3' to hairpin I) and the branchpoint sequence (BPS) of the intron results the bulging out of an unpaired adenosine, on the BPS, which initiates a nucleophilic attack at the intronic 5' splice site, thus starting the first of two transesterification reactions that mediate splicing.
Source: Ensembl